GUGGGGAAUCUUGCGCAAUGGGCGAAAGCCUGACGCAGCGACGCCGCGUGCGGGAUGACGGCCUUCGGGUUGUAAACCGCUGUCGGGAGGGACGAAGCUCUGACGGUACCUCCAAAGGAAGCACCGGCUAACUCUGUGCCAGCAGCCGCGGUAAUACAGAGGGUGCGAGCGUUGUCCGGAAUCACUGGGCGUAAAGGGCGCGUAGGCGGCCUGGUAAGUCGGGGGUGAAACGCUGCGGCUCAACCGCAGCACUGCCUUCGAGACUGUCAGGCUUGAGCACGGUAGAGGCUGGUGGAAUUCCCGGUGUAGCGGUGGAAUGCGUAGAGAUCGGGAAGAACAUCGGUGGCGAAGGCGGCCAGCUGGGCCGUUGCUGACGCUGAGGCGCGACAGCGUGGGGAGCAAACAGGAUUAGAAACCCUAGUAGUCC
This 427-nucleotide ribosomal RNA is filed under the name uncultured bacterium. RNAcentral's name for it is "bacterial SSU rRNA". It matches the Rfam family "Bacterial small subunit ribosomal RNA", at positions 354 to 796 of the family's 1533-position model. The record is from RNAcentral.